Non-coding RNA from Potamilus streckersoni, 77 nucleotides. NCBI's taxonomy places the organism in Eukaryota, Metazoa, Mollusca, Bivalvia, Unionida, Unionidae. The record is from the annotation of a GenBank genome assembly.
GACCGCUCCGGUGGCCUAGUGGUUAGAGCGUCUGCCUCGAAUACGGGAAGUCGCGGGUUCGAACCCCGACCGAGUCA